GGUUGUAAAACUCUUUCGUCGGGGAAGAAAAUGACUGUACCCGAAUAAGAAGGUCCGGCUAACUUCGUGCCAGCAGCCGCGGUAAUACGAAGGGACCUAGCGUAGUUCGGAAUUACUGGGCUUAAAGAGUUCGUAGGUGGUUAAAAAAGUUGAUGGUGAAAUCCCAAGGCUCAACCUUGGAACUGCCAUCAAAACUUUUUAGCUAGAGUGUGAUAGAGGAAAGUGGAAUUUCUAGUGUAGAGGUGAAAUUCGUAGAUAUUAGAAAGAACAUCAAAAGCGAAGGCAACUUUCUGGAUCAUUACUGACACUGAGGAACGAAAGCAUGGGUAGCGAAGAGGAUUAGAUACCCUCGUAGUCCAUGCCGUAAACGAUGUGUGCUAGACGUUGGAAACUUAGUUUUCAGUGUCGCAGCGAAAGCAUUAAGCACACCGCCUGGGGAGUACGACCGCAAGGUUA
RNAcentral lists this ribosomal RNA (456 nucleotides) under uncultured Alphaproteobacteria bacterium. RNAcentral describes it as "bacterial SSU rRNA". It matches the Rfam family "Bacterial small subunit ribosomal RNA", at positions 421 to 896 of the family's 1533-position model. Lineage: Bacteria; Pseudomonadati; Pseudomonadota; Alphaproteobacteria. The record is from RNAcentral.